RNAcentral lists this long non-coding RNA (319 nucleotides) under Elaeis guineensis (African oil palm). RNAcentral's name for it is "long non-coding RNA (EGUI_LNC036504)". The record is from RNAcentral. Lineage: Eukaryota; Viridiplantae; Streptophyta; Magnoliopsida; Arecales; Arecaceae.
AUUUUGUGCAUCUUCUUUCUCUUUCCAUCAAAACGUGGCCUAGACUACAUCACAUGCCAAAUCACAUUAAUUAUUCUUGUUGUUAUAUGAUGGUUAUUGUGAUAAUUAUGAUAAUAAUAUAAGAAAUAUAAAAUACAGAAAAAAGGGCAAAAACAUGGAGCAAGCCCUAGGCAUCAUACAACUUAAAUUAUGUUAACGUCAAAGGCGUUUUGAGACAUUUAAUAAAUUUAAUUGACAUCCUGUGUCAAAAGAUUCUGGGGACUGUCCAGAAAAAUCCCAAAAAUAAAGUGCAUCGCUUAGAAUAGUCAAUAAUCACGGA